Long non-coding RNA from Oreochromis niloticus (Nile tilapia), 143 nucleotides. RefSeq lists it as uncharacterized. The record is from RefSeq and is a predicted model, not a curated record. The transcript is spliced from 3 exons. Lineage: Eukaryota; Metazoa; Chordata; Actinopteri; Cichliformes; Cichlidae.
GCAACAUUGUACCCAUCAGCUUUGAGCACCCGCCCCUGUAAACGUCUCUGCACGGCCCUGACCAUGGUAACCACGGACUCUAAGCGGCUGGAUCAACGCAGGUGAAGAGCCUGAGGCCGGUGACAGUCCAGUUCUACUCCAAG